This is a long non-coding RNA of Venturia canescens, 582 nucleotides long. RefSeq lists it as uncharacterized. The transcript is spliced from 3 exons. NCBI's taxonomy places the organism in Eukaryota, Metazoa, Arthropoda, Insecta, Hymenoptera, Ichneumonidae. The record is from RefSeq and is a predicted model, not a curated record.
CAAAUAUUUAUGCACAUUUAUUAGCAUACUACAGAACCCAUAUGUGAAUAUCGCUGGUUUUUUUAAUACUCUUCCUUUGCCGCUGUCUUUCUCUCCCUCCGUCUGUCAGUGGACGAAGCAAACUAUAACGCAUUGAGUAACGAAGAGAAGAGGACACAAGUAAAGCUACGUGUGUAUCCGAGGCUACCUUAGAAUAACCAGCUUCGUCGAGGCAUAUAUCGCGUUAAUUUACGAAAGUGAAGUUUUGCUCCAAUUAAGAGAAAUAAAAUGGAGCCGCGGCAUAGCAGCUCACGGCGAAUUUCGCGUGAUGUCUAGCGAUAAGUGUACAUCGUCGGUUCAAUAUUUUGCUGCGGCGUUCCAGGCUGGUAAUCCGCGUCGUUUUGUAACCAAGAAAAUAUGAGAAAAAACGAAGAGCAAGUACCAGCGAGGGGGUUUACGAGAAAGAAAUUGUCAAAAUUAUCGGUAAUUUUGAGCGAAACGCCAGUUUCGACGGCUUCCCGAAACGACCGCUGUACGAAAGUCUCUCCAAUGUGGAUGAAUUUUCAAAUGUCAGUUAAUAAUAAUAAUAAUAAAUAAACACGA